UACGUAGGGGGCUAGCGUUGUUCGGAUUUACUGGGCGUAAAGCGCACGUAGGCGGUUUGUUAAGUCAGGGGUGAAAUCCCAGAGCUCAACUCUGGAACUGCCUUUGAUACUGGCAAGCUAGAGUCCGGAAGAGGUAAGUGGAACUCCUAGUGUAGAGGUGGAAUUCGUAGAUAUUAGGAAGAACACCAGUGGCGAAGGCGGCUUACUGGUCCGGAACUGACGCUGAGGUGCGAAAGCGUGGGGAGCAAACAGG
This 253-nucleotide ribosomal RNA is filed under the name uncultured bacterium. Its description in RNAcentral is "partial 16S ribosomal RNA". It matches the Rfam family "Bacterial small subunit ribosomal RNA", at positions 524 to 776 of the family's 1533-position model. The record is from RNAcentral.